This 551-nucleotide long non-coding RNA is filed under the name Ictidomys tridecemlineatus (thirteen-lined ground squirrel). Its description in RNAcentral is "lncRNA (ENSSTOG00000008871.3)". Lineage: Eukaryota; Metazoa; Chordata; Mammalia; Rodentia; Sciuridae. The record is from RNAcentral.
AUGUCCUUUGAUGAGCUCUUGGAUCAAGCCGGAGGCCUGGGGAGAUUCCAAAUCUUUCAGUUAGUUCUCUUUUGUAUCACCAACCUCCUAACAUCCUCUCAUAUUAUACUGGAGAACUUCACUGCAGCAAUUCCUAAUCAUCGCUGCUGGGUCCAGAUUCUGGACAAUGACACUGUCUCUGGUAAUGACACCAGGACUUUCAGCCAAGAUGCCCUCCUGAGGAUCUCCAUUCCCCUGGACUCAAACCUGAAACCAGAGAAAUGCCGUCGCUUCAUCCAUCCCCAGUGGCAGCUCCUUCACCUGAAUGAAACUGUCACCAACACAGCUGAGGCAGACACGGAGCCCUGUGUGGAUGGCUGGGUGUAUGACAGAAGCUAUUUCCCCUCCACCAUCAUAACUGAGUGGGACCUGGUUUGUGAAUCCCAGUCAUUAAAACCAAUGGUUCAAACUCUGUUUAUGACUGGGUCACUGUUGGGAAGUCUGAUAUAUAGCCCUCUUUCAGACAGGUGAGUGUCACCUCACUUUCUUUUAGACUGUUGGUCAGAUUAAGU